RNAcentral lists this ribosomal RNA (630 nucleotides) under uncultured fungus. RNAcentral describes it as "eukaryotic LSU rRNA". It matches the Rfam family "Eukaryotic large subunit ribosomal RNA", at positions 23 to 664 of the family's 3401-position model. Lineage: Eukaryota; Fungi. The record is from RNAcentral.
UCUCACUCGUUGAACUUAGAAAUUCUAUAAGCGGAGGAAAAGAACCCACCGGGGAUUCACUUAGCAACGACGAGAGAAGCGACGACAGCUCAACUUUGAAAUCUGGCUCUCUCAGGGUCCGAGUUGUAAUUUGUAGAAGAUGCUACGGGUGUGGUACCGGUCUAAGUUCCUUGGAACAGGACGUCAUAGAGGGUGAGAAUGCCGUAUGUGACUGGUCACCUUCGCUCAUGUGAAGCUCUUUCGACGAGUCGAGUUGUUUGGGAAUGCAGCUCAAAAUGGGUGGUAAAUUUCAUCUAAAGCUAAAUAUUGGCCAGAGACCGAUAGCGCACAAGUAGAGUGAUCGAAAGAUGAAAAGCACUUUGGAAAGAGAGUUAAACAGUACGGGAAAUUGUUGAAAGGGAAGCGCUUGCUACCAGACUUGCACGUAGUUAAUCCUCCGGGGUUCUCCCCGGUGCACUUGGCUACGUUCAGGGCAGCAUCGGUUUCGGUGGUUGGAUAAAGGCCUACUGAAUGUGGCUCUCUUCCGGGAGUGUUAUAGCCCUCGGUGCAAUGCAGCCCACCUGGACCCAAGACCGCCCUUCGGCUAAGAUGGUGGCGUAAUGGUUGUAAGGCACCCGUCUUGGAACACCG